This 259-nucleotide long non-coding RNA is filed under the name Lathyrus oleraceus (garden pea). Its description in RNAcentral is "Pisum sativum (pea) long non-coding RNA (PSAT_LNC013650)". Lineage: Eukaryota; Viridiplantae; Streptophyta; Magnoliopsida; Fabales; Fabaceae. The record is from RNAcentral.
UUAAUAUUAAAUGCCUUAACAUGUAUACAAUAUAUUUUGAUUAAAAAAAUUCAAAAACAAAAUGCAUGAACUAAAAAAAUAACAAUAACAACAACAACGACAACAACAACAAUAACAAUAACAACAACAAUAGUAACAACAAUAGCAACAACAACAAUAAUAACAACAACAAAAACAACAACAACAACAAUAACAACACAACAAAGGAAACAUAAACAACAAUAACAAUAACUAUAACAACAACAACAAGAAUAGCAAG